RNAcentral lists this transfer RNA (83 nucleotides) under Schistocephalus solidus. It matches the Rfam family "tRNA". From Rfam's summary of the family: Transfer RNA (tRNA) molecules are approximately 80 nucleotides in length. Their secondary structure includes four short double-helical elements and three loops (D, anti-codon, and T loops). The record is from Rfam by way of RNAcentral. Lineage: Eukaryota; Metazoa; Platyhelminthes; Cestoda; Diphyllobothriidea; Diphyllobothriidae.
AGCCUCGUAGCUCAAUUGGCUAGAGCGUUGGCUGUACUAAAGCCUUCACCUAGCUGGCGUGUGUUCGAAUCCCACCGAGGCCA